This is a long non-coding RNA of Lycium barbarum (goji berry), 1622 nucleotides long. RefSeq lists it as uncharacterized. The record is from RefSeq and is a predicted model, not a curated record. Lineage: Eukaryota; Viridiplantae; Streptophyta; Magnoliopsida; Solanales; Solanaceae. The transcript has 3 exons.
AACUAGUAGUAGAUACAGAUGAAAAAUUAGCCCAUGAAAACAUAGUCUGCCAACCCGCCCAAGUUUGGAUUGGUUAUUGACCUGCCCAUGUAUUAGUUCAGCCCAUAAAAAAAUGAACUGUUAUGUAGCCCAAAUUGAACAGAGAUCUUAUAUAUAGCCUUAAUAAAGAAAAAAAUAAUAGUUCUAUUAGAUACUAAAAGAUUAAUACAAGAAUAAACAAAGAAAUUAAAACUUAGUAAGAAUCGGACGAAUUGAGUUAUGACCCGCUUUUUAGCUCAUGCAAUCAGCACAUUUGACACCCCUAUUAAUAGAAAACUUAAACUACUGAAUGCAGGAAUGGAAAUUUAUAUUGACUACAGCUAGUUUGGGAUGCACACUUUGGGGUUGUAGUUUCUGAGGUAAUAUGUCUUUGAAAAUGGAUAAAAAAUUGUGAAUUGGCUAUGCUUCUGGUUACAUUCAGGAGCCUUUUGGCUAAUGGAUAGGAUAAAGGAGGGUUGUAUUAUUUCGUACGUGUAAGGAAUAAGGAUAUUGUGUUUGCAGUGAACUUUUGUAAUAUUCAAUUAUCUUAAAUCUCUUUGCUUUGCCUUUUCCCUUUUCCGGAUAUCAACUUGAGCUUGAAGACUUUACAAAUGAGAACAAAAAUGUAGAAUAUAUGAUAUCAUGAGUAUCAUGGUUUUAUUGGUUACAUGAAGGAAACUUUCUAGGUGGCAUAGCUUUUAAGAUAAUGGACCAAAAUUGUAUUUUGCUUAGUAGUUUUAGUUUGGGAAGCAUAUUUAGGGGCCUUUUCUUUCAUGGAUCUGAUGAUGAAGGGUUGUAGUAUUAGCUUCUGUGUAUAAAGGAUGUUCUGUUUGUGAUGCAUUCUUUUAAUCUAUUUCAAACCAUAUUCUGAAAAACGAUUUUCUUGCACCGAGGGUCUAAGGGAAACAACCUCUCUACCCCACAAAGGUAGGGUAAGGUCUACGGAGACCCACCCUCCCCAAAUCUCACUUGUGAAAAUAUACUAGGUAUGUUGUUGUAUCAAGUGUAGAACGACAAGUAAUCAAAAUUUAGUGACAAGAUGGUUUUGCCUUUUCCAUACCAAAAGACGAAAUUGCUAUCGCAAUGAGAUCAAGUUCUCGGUGAACAAUUGUAGUACAAUAUUUCAUGGGAUCCAUGGUACUGAACAUGAAUCUACCAACCUGUUUCCACUGUGUGCAAUAUUUGCUCACUUCAAAAGAAAUAAAAUUUGAUCUGCAGUAUUGUGUCCUCUACAUCUGGAGGAGCCAGCGAUAACCACAGUGAGACGGGGAUCUGGUGGCCCAAGACAAAUUGAGAAGCAGAAGCACUGAAGAAUGGCUCUAGAGCUGCACAACACCAAUGAGAAAAUUCAGCUCUUCCAGAAUAAUGGGUAAUGAAGCAUUCUGAACUGAUUUUUUAAUUUUAAGUAAUUCAGAAGCCAUAUAUCAUUAAGAUCCACUAUGGAUGUCAAAUUAAGGUAAUUCUUCCUGAUCCAUACAAAGAUUAGACAAGUUAAUACACUGAGCUCUAGAGCACAGCUUAUCUCUGAGUGCUCUUUUUAAGUAUGAAGUACUCGUUUGAAGUGUAGAAAUUUACAAGCAUCUGUUAUUCAAAAUAAAAAACUU